ACAAACUUGGUCAUUUAGAGGAAGUAAAAGUCGUAACAAGGUUUCCGUAGGUGAACCUGCGGAAGGAUCAUUACCAAACAAAAGCUCAUGGUUGGGAAACCGGCCAGAGUGUAAACCCUCUGUGAACCAGAAAACAUACCUUUCGCUUCCGCGGUUGGCUGGAUUCCAGCUGUAAUCCCGCGGUUAGCAAUCCUCAAAACCAGUUGAUAUUCAAACACAGUCUGAACAAUUAUCAAAGAAUAAUUAAAACUUUCAACAACGGAUCUCUUGGUUCUCGCAUCGAUGAAGAACGCAGC
Molecule: unclassified non-coding RNA, 296 nt
Filed under: uncultured fungus
Lineage: Eukaryota; Fungi
Description: partial contains small subunit ribosomal RNA, internal transcribed spacer 1, and 5.8S ribosomal RNA
Rfam family: Eukaryotic small subunit ribosomal RNA (bases 1-73)
Source: RNAcentral